This 834-nucleotide ribosomal RNA is filed under the name uncultured bacterium. RNAcentral describes it as "bacterial SSU rRNA". It matches the Rfam family "Bacterial small subunit ribosomal RNA", at positions 91 to 909 of the family's 1533-position model. The record is from RNAcentral.
GCGAGCGGCGGAUGGGUGAGUAACACGUGGGGAACCUGCCCCUAAGUCUGGGAUACCAUUUGGAAACAGGUGCUAAUACCGGAUAAUAAAGCAGAUCGCAUGAUCAGCUUUUGAAAGGCGGCGUAAGCUGUCGCUAAGGGAUGGCCCCGCGGUGCAUUAGCUAGUUGGUAAGGUAACGGCUUACCAAGGCGACGAUGCAUAGCCGAGUUGAGAGACUGAUCGGCCACAUUGGGACUGAGACACGGCCCAAACUCCUACGGGAGGCAGCAGUAGGGAAUCUUCCACAAUGGACGCAAGUCUGAUGGAGCAACGCCGCGUGAGUGAAGAAGGUUUUCGGAUCGUAAAGCUCUGUUGUUGGUGAAGAAGGAUAGAGGUAGUAACUGGCCUUUAUUUGACGGUAAUCAACCAGAAAGUCACGGCUAACUACGUGCCAGCAGCCGCGGUAAUACGUAGGUGGCAAGCGUUGUCCGGAUUUAUUGGGCGUAAAGCGAGCGCAGGCGGAAAAAUAAGUCUAAUGUGAAAGCCCUCGGCUUAACCGAGGAACUGCAUCGGAAACUGUUUUUCUUGAGUGCAGAAGAGGAGAGUGGAACUCCAUGUGUAGCGGUGGAAUGCGUAGAUAUAUGGAAGAACACCAGUGGCGAAGGCGGCUCUCUGGUCUGCAACUGACGCUGAGGCUCGAAAGCAUGGGUAGCGAACAGGAUUAGAUACCCUGGUAGUCCAUGCCGUAAACGAUGAGUGCUAAGUGUUGGGAGGUUUCCGCCUCUCAGUGCUGCAGCUAACGCAUUAAGCACUCCGCCUGGGGAGUACGACCGCAAGGGUUGAAACUCAAAGGAA